This is a long non-coding RNA of Medicago truncatula (barrel medic), 1105 nucleotides long. RefSeq lists it as uncharacterized. The record is from RefSeq and is a predicted model, not a curated record. Lineage: Eukaryota; Viridiplantae; Streptophyta; Magnoliopsida; Fabales; Fabaceae. The transcript is spliced from 3 exons.
AAACAUUCCUGGGUUUGUCGUCCCCGACAACCUGAAAGCUAAGGACAACCUCUGAAUGUUCUAUCAUUGUUAUUGUUAUAUUUAACCCAUACAGUAUAGAGGGGCGAGACCAAUUCCGUUGAAUUGUUUUGAAAGUUAAAGGAGGGAAACAUUUAACAUCAAAAGCCUUAAGAUUUAAAAACUCAUGAAUUGAUGAAUACAUGCUCACUUUGAAAUGAUUGACCAACAAAGAUACAUCACCUGUUGGUGGCAUUUAGCAUGCACAAAUGAUAGAUUUGUGCACCAUGCACAAUUUUCCCAUGGAAGGAUAGCUGGCAGUUUUGGGGAUGAGGUUACCUGCUGGGAAAACAUAUUAUAAUUGAAAAUAUUGAUUUUAUUGUUUUUGCUGGUGACACCCCCAAAAUCUGAAAAUGCAGAGUAGCAAUUCACACUUACUAACCAUCAACCCCCAUUUUGAAUCUCACGUGAGUCUUCUUUCUCUCUUCCUUCACUUGAAUCUCACAAAGAAUCAUUUUCAUCUACCACCAUUUUCUUCAUAUUUUCAUAAAUUGAUACUCGCUAUCAACCUACCCAUAAACUUAAAUUUCAUCUUCUUGAACAAGAUUGUUAAAUUUUAUUGAAGUUUGGAGAUUGCAACUUAGUUUGGUUUCUAGAUCUGGAUUCAUUGAAUCUCAUUGUUGAUUUCUGAAAUCUUUGAACUUGAAGUGCAUACAUAUCAACUGUUAGAAGAUUGUCUCCUACUGUCCCAGGGGAACUGGAAGAGUAUAUUGCUAAUGCUUACUCCAACAUUCGUCAAGAAGAAGCAAAGUCCACCACUCCACAUUCCUAUACAACUAUCAGAACAUUGCUCAGUAUUCUCCGCAUAUCAGUUGAACAGGUUCUUGGAUAUGAUGAAGCUGAAGAGGAAUGAAGAUUGACGAUAUUCAGAGACUGAAAUGAUAAGAAUUAGUAAUUUUGAGUAGUAUUGUGAAAUUGUAAUGGGAAUGAUGAAGUUGAAGAGGAGAGAAGACCUGAUAUUAUUCGUAGACUGAAUUGAAGAGAAUAAUUGAGUUGUAUUACUAUAUUUUAAUGAAAUUUGAUUAUAGUGAAUUUUUUUUUUCUGUAA